This 75-nucleotide transfer RNA is filed under the name Candidatus Woesearchaeota archaeon. RNAcentral's name for it is "tRNA-Pro". It matches the Rfam family "tRNA". Rfam says of the family: Transfer RNA (tRNA) molecules are approximately 80 nucleotides in length. Their secondary structure includes four short double-helical elements and three loops (D, anti-codon, and T loops). Lineage: Archaea; Nanobdellati; Candidatus Woesearchaeota. The record is from RNAcentral.
GGGGCCGUAGUGUAGCUUGGUCUAUCACUCCACCUUGGGGUGGUGGUAACCCCGGUUCAAAUCCGGGCGGUCCCA